GUCCCUAUAGUUCAACGGAUCGAAUGCAGCCCUGCGAAGGCUGAGAUUGAGGUUCAAUUCCUCAUAGGGACA
Molecule: transfer RNA, 72 nt
Filed under: Candidatus Azambacteria bacterium RIFCSPHIGHO2_01_FULL_51_74
Lineage: Bacteria; Candidatus Azamiibacteriota
Also listed under: 2 other names
Description: tRNA-Arg
Rfam family: tRNA
About the family: Transfer RNA (tRNA) molecules are approximately 80 nucleotides in length.
Source: RNAcentral